GCCCUGGUAGCUCAGUUGGAUUAGAGCGUCCCCCUCCUAAGGGGAAGGUCAGAGGUUCAAUUCCUCUUCAGGGCACCA
RNAcentral lists this transfer RNA (78 nucleotides) under Gammaproteobacteria bacterium. RNAcentral describes it as "tRNA-Arg". It matches the Rfam family "tRNA". From Rfam's summary of the family: Transfer RNA (tRNA) molecules are approximately 80 nucleotides in length. Their secondary structure includes four short double-helical elements and three loops (D, anti-codon, and T loops). RNAcentral also lists the same sequence under 2 other names. Lineage: Bacteria; Pseudomonadati; Pseudomonadota; Gammaproteobacteria. The record is from RNAcentral.